ACUCCUACGGGAGGCAGCAGUGGGGAAUAUUGCACAAAUGGGCGCAAAGCCUGAUGCAGCCAUGCCGCGUGUGUGAAGAAGGCCCUUCGGGUUGUAAAAGCACUUUCAGUUGUGAGGAAAGGUUAGUCGCUAAUAUCGGCUAGCUGUGACGUUAGCACAGAAGAAGCACCGGCUAACUCCGUGCCAGCAGCCGCGGUAAUACGGAGGGUGCGAGCGUUAAUCGGAAUUACUGGGCGUAAAGCGCAUGCAGGUGGCUUGUUAAGUCAGAUGUGAAAGCCCGGGGCUCAACCUCGGAAUUGCAUUUGAAACUGGCAGACUAGAGUACUGUAGAGGGGGGGUUAGAAUUUCAGGUGUAGCGGUGAAAUGCGUAGAGAUCUGAAGGAAUACCGGUGGCGAAGGCGGCCCCCUGGACAGAUACUGACACUCAGAUGCGAAA
Molecule: ribosomal RNA, 436 nt
Filed under: uncultured bacterium
Lineage: Bacteria
Description: bacterial SSU rRNA
Rfam family: Bacterial small subunit ribosomal RNA
Source: RNAcentral